RNAcentral lists this ribosomal RNA (253 nucleotides) under uncultured bacterium. Its description in RNAcentral is "partial 16S ribosomal RNA". It matches the Rfam family "Bacterial small subunit ribosomal RNA", at positions 524 to 776 of the family's 1533-position model. The record is from RNAcentral.
GACAGAGGGUGCAAACGUUGUUCGGAUUUACUGGGCGUAAAGCGCGUGUAGGCGGCUUGGCAAGUCGGAUGUGAAAGCCCACGGCUCAACCGUGGAAGCGCAUCCGAAACGGCCUCGCUCGAGUCUCGGAGAGGAAGGUGGAAUGCUUGGUGUAGAGGUGAAAUGCGCAGAUAUCAGGAGGAACACCAAUGGCGAAGGCAGCACUCUGGGACGUGACUGACGCUGAGACGCGAAAGCGUGGGGAGCAAACAGG